Acinonyx jubatus (cheetah) is the source of this 1201-nucleotide long non-coding RNA. RefSeq lists it as uncharacterized. The record is from RefSeq and is a predicted model, not a curated record. NCBI's taxonomy places the organism in Eukaryota, Metazoa, Chordata, Mammalia, Carnivora, Felidae. The transcript has 2 exons.
AUGUCAGCAUUAAAAUUAGGAGAAGAGGGAGAUGUAGAAUCACCUUCUCUUCCUGAGGACAAGGUGUUUUUACAAACAUGUAUCCUGCCCGAAAAGACAUGUGAAAAUCAAAACAAGGAAAUUAACCACCCAUUUUUGCAACUGCAAAAAAUUACUCAAGGACCAGCAAUGAAUAAGGAAUGUGAUAGGGAGCAUGAUAUAUCUCUAUAUUUAAGACAUGCUUCUAUGCAAAACUUUGAGGAAAUGUGGAUCAAAUAAGGCAAAUUAGACUGGAAAAAUAGCUUAAAACUCAUCACCAGUGAGUGAAAGCUGAAGUUUGGUGAAAUUUGUUAACAAUACAGCAUUCCUACUCGUCUUGAAGAAGAACCACCACGGGUUCACUCUAAGGAGGAACCAACUGAAAGGAAAUACCUUCGAAUUGGACAAAUACUGUGCUUGACUGUGAGGAAGAAGAUGCAUUUGGAGUGUCUGUCUCGGUAGUAUUUCAGGCAUUUCCUGAACAAAAAGAGCCUAGUCUUGAAAAUGUCAUUCUCUCUCAUUCAUACCUGGGUCCCCAGAAUAUGCUUGCCAGUCAUCUUCUAAGCUUUCUUUAAAUGAAAGCAAAUCAUCCAGGACAUAUAAAUCAAAACCACACUGAGAUACCACAUCACACCAGUCAAGAGUGGCUACGUGACCAAACCAGGAGACUAUGGAUGCUGGGGAGGAUGUGGAGAAACAAGAACCCUCUGGCACUCUUGGUGGGAAUGCAAACUGGUGCAGCCACUCUGGAAAACAGUGUGGAGGUUCCUCAAAAAAUGAAAAAUAGAUCUACCCUAUGACCCAGCAAUAGCACUGCUAGGAAUUUACCCAAGGGAUACAGGAGUGUUGAUGCGUAGGGGCAAUUGUACCCCAAUGUUUAUAGCAGCACUUUCAACAACCGCCAAAUUUAUGGAAAGAGUCUAAAUGCCCAUCACCCGACGAAUGGAUAAGGAAAUUGUGCUUUAUAUACACAAUGGAAUGCUACUUGGCCAUGAGAAAGAAUGAAAUAUGGCCUUUUGUAGCAACGUGGAUGGAACAGGAGAGUGUGAUGCUAAGUGAAAUAAGUAAUACAGAGAAAGACAGAUACCAUAUGUUUUCACUCUUUUGUGGAUCCUGAGAAACUUAACAGAAGACCAUGGGGGAGGCGAAAUGAAAAAAACAAAAACAAAAAUAAAAAAACAAA